This 253-nucleotide ribosomal RNA is filed under the name uncultured bacterium. Its description in RNAcentral is "partial 16S ribosomal RNA". It matches the Rfam family "Bacterial small subunit ribosomal RNA", at positions 524 to 776 of the family's 1533-position model. The record is from RNAcentral.
UACGUAGGCAGCAAGCGUUGUUCGGAGUUACUGGGCGUAAAGGGUGCGUAGGCGGCUUCUUAAGUUUGGUGUGAAAUCUCCCGGCUCAACUGGGAGGGUGCGACGAAGACUGAGGGGCUAGAGUGUGGGAGAGGAAAGUGGAAUUCCAGGUGUAGCGGUGAAAUGCGUAGAUAUCUGGAGGAACACCGGUGGUGUAAACGGCUUUAUGGACCAUUACUGACGCUGAUGCACGAAAGCGUGGGUAGCAAACAGG